CCUUAAUCCAGAGCAAGGCCAGGGAUCAAACCUGCAGCCUCAUGGACACUGUGUUGUGUUCUUAACCCACUGAGCCACAACAGGAACUCCCAUAUCUAUUUUUGAGCUGUGUUUCUGCUCUGUGGUGUAGGUGGGCAGGACUGGAGCACUCCCACUAAGAGUGGAGCCCUUGAGUAUUCCUUUGCUAGAGCUCUCCACCUGUGAGUGUGCUUCGUUGUGUCACUUUUUACCUGUUGUGUGGGUUCGCAAAAUACGCUAUUGUUGCCACUGCUCUGCCAGCAAUUGGUUUUAGUGUCUCUUAGGCAUUGUUUUCACCCCAGGCCAUCAGCUCAUAUCUGAUGAAGUCAGGUCCUAGGAUUUUAUAGUUGUACCCAUGUGCCCACUGUGGAAGCUAUGAAGAGAGCUUAGACUCUGGCCUGGUCAGUCCUACAGAGCCCACAGAUGUUAAAGUCAGACCCACCAUAUCACUUGCAGGUUUCAUGGAAUAUCUAGGGUUCUCUGCACUCCCAGGAUAGUAGGAGCAGAGACCAGUUCCCCCUUACAGGUUUCAUGAGGUAUCUGUGCCUCUCUGCACUCCUGGGGCAGAUGGAGCAGAUUCUAGUGAUUGCUGGCAAAUUUCAUGUGGUGUCAGUGCCCCACUGUACUCCCAGGACAGAUGGAAUGGAGACAUCCCAAUUUUCACAGGGAUGACUCAUCCUAGAGAGCUGCUGGGACUGUGGUGUUAGGGCCUGGCACCUGAAGGCAAUUUUUUUCUGGGUAUCUGGGGUUCAGGUGCUUCAGGGAUUCCAGAGGCAGAGCUCAGCUCCUGCUUGCCAUUGGUCUCCUAGCAGCUGCUGCUAUCUGGGUCUCACAAUGGUACCAGUACUCUAACAGGUGUUUCCUGUUACCUAAGAGUGCUCACAGAGGAGGAAGCUCUUAGCGGCAGCCCUAUCCCCCUCCUCAAUGCCUCCCAACAAUGGUGCCUUGCCUCUCUGGCAGGACAUGAUUUCUUCUGGGUACACCAUCCUGUGUCACCAUCCAGCCUCUCUGAGCUGUCUCUGAGCAGCUAAGCUAAGCCUAGUCAUCUCCCUGAGUCUGACAUGAAUCCUGAGUUUCAACUCCCAGCCCCCACCUACUCCAGGGGAUGAGGCUGGGAAGUGCAGCAGUGCAGUGCUUACCCUCUGCGAGGAUGACUGUUUUGCCCCUUGCAAACUGCCUGCUGCUCUUUCCUCCUGGACUCCAGAGUUCCCCCUCUGUUCAGGCUGAUCCCUCCACCAGUGAGAGAGCUCCCCAGGGUGUAGGAACUUUUUCUCCCUCACAAUUCCCUCCCUCAGGUGCAGAUCCCAUCAUCCUGGUUGCUUUCUCUCUCUCUCCCUCUCCUUUUGUCUGUUUCCUUUCUUCCCUCCCCCCACCCCAUACUCUUUAGCCUAAUGGGGUUUUCUUGCCUUUUCAGAAGUCUGAUGUUUUUGUCAGUGUUCAGUAGAUGUUCUGUGUGGAUUGUUCCACUCGUAGAUGUAUUUUUAUGUUUCUGUAAGAGGAGGGGAACUCCAUGUCCUAUUCCUCCACUAUCUUCUCUCCUGCUCUCAAUUCCCUAGCUUUUCACUGUGCUUUCCUGGCUUACAUUUCUAUGCUCUUUUAGGAAAAUAGUUCCAAAUGUGAUCUCUUUAUUGUGUCUGUGAAUAUAUGUACAAGCUUGUAUAUAUAUGAUUUUUGGAUAUUAUCAAUACUGUACAUUGCUUGCUUUUAAUCGUAUUCCAUGUAUCAUUGUUAUAAGAAAGAAAAUAUUAAUGCUCACUUACCUCUUGAUUUUCCUAAAUAUUUUAUCUGUUUUAAAUGGUAAUAUGCUAGAAAGUAAUUUUACCCAAUUAGUUUAAUUCCACUUAUAUUUUAAUAGAUAACAGAAAAAUUCAUGCAUGGAUUUUAUCUUUCAGAAAAUGGCUUAUUUUUCCUAACAGCGAUAUUUGUCAAGAAGCUGAAAUGACAAAUUCUUUAUCUUCUUGAACCUCAACUAUGAUGUAGCUCAUUACAUUAGCACCAAGAAAGCAGGCUGUAAAUUACCACGGUGUGUUCAGGCAUGUCUGCAAGUUUGACAUUGCCUUCUUUCUAGAACAUCCAUCAUUCCAGAAAUGUCCUGAGUACUGAAGGGACAGACUACAAAGAAAUUAAAUCCCAAAAUGGAAGAACACAGUUUUUACUCUUAAUAUCAGAUACCAGGUACUAUCAUAUUGGUUGAGUUUCUCCUUAGUGAUCAUCAGAAAUUCAUGCUUUAAGAACUAUAGAGAGUUUACAUAUGUUUACAUAGUUUAUAGCGAUUGGAAAUGGGAUAAAAAUGGAGUGGAGUAAAAUUAAUAUAAAAAAAUCUGAAACAUGAAUAAAAGGUAUUUUUUCAAACAUUUUAGGAAAUAAGAAAUGUUUAUAAAAAUCACUUUCAAGACUGAUAAAUAUGUUAUUUUUAAAGAAUAUGCUUGGAGUGAGGACAAGUCAAGACUUUUUUAUUGCAAUACUUAUACUGCAUAACGUAGGACUAUAAAUACUCUUUAAGUAGCUGAAGAGAAAGAACAUGUUGAAAUGCACAAAUUGCAAUGUCUUUUUCUGGCCUAAAAAUGUUAAGUUCUCCAAGGGAAUAAAUGGGCAAUAAGAACUCCUUAUUUAAAUGUGAUGUCCACCAAGAAAAUUAAUUAAUUAUGGAUAGAAUAUUCCAUCACACACUCAUUGAUUUCAGUCAGCACCAAUGCAAGUUCUAUCGUUUAGGACUUAAAAAGAAUAAGACAUCAAGAAAAUUUCUGAUCCUAUAAUUUUUUUCCUGGGAAGUGGAAAUGGAAAAACGGAAGUGAAAAUUAUGUCUUUUAUUUUAAUAUUCAGUUUUAAUUUUCUCAUCUUAAUAUCUAUAAUGCUAAUGUUGGGUAGAACUCAGGUACUUAUUUUUUAGCUAUUUCAUGUUGUUUUAUAAUUAAAACAUUGCUCAUUUUACUUAGCCUACAGUUAAGAUAGAAACAACAUCGAAAUAUUUCUUCACUUUAGGAUAGCUAUAUUAAAUAAUGGUAAACUACAUAUCUGUAUUCACAUGUUUGUGAUAAAUAAUCAAAUGCAAAGGUAAAUGAGAAAGUAAGUCAAUUCCCAUGAAUUUGCAGCUGGGGUAGAAAAGUUCCUUCCAUUGAAUGUGUGAUGACCUAAUCCCCAACACCUAUAAGUGUUACCUUAAAUAACAAAAAGAGCUUGACUGAGCUAGGGCAUGGGCCAUCACAAAGUGAGGGGAGCCUGAAUUACCCAGGUGUGCCCAAUCUAAUCACAAGCAUUCUUAAAAGAAGAGAAAUGUUCCAGCUGGAAGAAGAGGUUGGCAGUGAGAUAUAGCGGAAGUGAAGCAGGAGAAGUUCAAGGUCUGAGACGUCUACCUACGUUUGGGUGGGAGGAGGAGUGGCCCAGGGGUGUUGAAGACAACCGGAAUGCGUGAGAAUAAAUGCAUGCAACCUCUAGGAACUAAAGGCUGCUAACCAGCUGACAACAAGCAAGGACCUCAGUCCUGGGAACUGAGUGCUUUCACAACAAGAAGGAGUUUGGAAACACAUUCAUUCCUACCCAGAGCCUCCUGAAAGGGACCUUGAUGGAGGAAUAUCAGUUUCUGCCUUUGAGACCCUAAGAAGACCAGCUGAGCCUACCUGCGCUUAUGACCUGCCUGACCUACAAGAUGAAGCUGCAGCAGUCCUCUUAUAAACUUGCAGGUGGAAAUGACUCAGUAUCGAUGACAGAGCAAAAACACAGAAGCCACCUCGGUCUUAGCUGAUUGCACAGACCUACCAAGCCAACCAUCAACCAUUUCCCUCUGGGAUUCUUUUAUAUGAAAGAAUAAACCAUGUUGUACCUAUUUGCAGUGUGGUAGCUAUUAAAAUGUAAUUUCUAACUGACACAGUAACUUUUAGAAAAUAACAAAUCGACGUUACUAUAAAGAUGUCAAAAGUCAGAAAGAAGUAAGGAACAAUGUCAUCAUGCUAUCAGCUAUGAAAUGAAUCUGUAAAAUGCUGUCAACUAAAAUAAAUGCUCUUCUCAGUGUUUUCUUC
This is a non-coding RNA of Sus scrofa (pig), 4034 nucleotides long. NCBI's taxonomy places the organism in Eukaryota, Metazoa, Chordata, Mammalia, Artiodactyla, Suidae. The record is from RefSeq and is a predicted model, not a curated record.